Small nuclear RNA from Pipistrellus kuhlii (Kuhl's pipistrelle), 107 nucleotides. The record is from RefSeq and is a predicted model, not a curated record. Lineage: Eukaryota; Metazoa; Chordata; Mammalia; Chiroptera; Vespertilionidae.
GUGCUCACUUCAGCAGCACAUAUACUAAAAUUGGAAUGGUUCAGAGAAGAUUAACAUGCCCUCUGCACGAGGAUGACACACACACUCUUGAAGCAUUAAAAAAAAAU